Molecule: ribosomal RNA, 4467 nt
Filed under: Triticum aestivum (bread wheat)
Lineage: Eukaryota; Viridiplantae; Streptophyta; Magnoliopsida; Poales; Poaceae
Description: partial small subunit ribosomal RNA
Source: RNAcentral
AUGGUAGCCCGGUCUCUCCUCCGUCCGUGCCACCCACAAGGUCGUACAUCCCUGCAUCAGAUGGGGAUGUACGCAGCACUCCGUGUGGCGCAAUGGGUGGUGGGCAAGGCGCUAGCCCCCGUUGCCGAGGGUGUGCUGGGGGCUUGGGCAGACACCAAGAACUUUGGUCCCAACGUCGAGGCCCUCAGCACGGAACUGCUGCUCGUGAAGGCCAUGCUUGAGCAGGCUGCCCACAAGGAGCUCGGAGGCCCGGCAAUGGAGAUGCUGCUGCAGAAGCUGCGGGACUCGGCUCAGAAUGCCGAAGAUUUGCUGGAUGAGCUGGACUAUUUCCGCAUCCACGACAAGCUCCAUGGAACGUAUGAGGCUGCCGACAAGCACGGCAAGGGUUGCGUCCGCAACCUUGCCUUCAAUGCUCGCCACACCGCCGAAACUGUUGGCAAACUGGUUAACUGUUGCGCUUGGCAGCGUGCUAAGCGCCGGCAGAGGUCACACAACAAUUCCUCCUCAGCGCCAAGCGCCAAUCAUGAGGCCAGCGGAUGCAUGCCCAAGCUCGGUAAACUCCUCCCUUGCUCAUCUUCCCCACAUCUACAUGUUGGUGAUGGCGAUGGUGGCAAUGAGCAAGAAACACCAAAGCUUGAGUUUAAUAGGAUUGGUUUCUCUCAAAGGAUGAAUAACAUUGUAGAGAAACUGCAGCUUAUGCGCAAUGAGGUUAGCAAGAUUCUGAUACAUUGUGGCCCUAGAACUGUCCCAGACACUGCCCAAAUUCGUCCUAUCACCAAAGGUCGGAUUGAUGAGCCAAAACUGUAUGGGAGGGACCGUGUCAUGAAUAGCAUCAUACAUGAUAUCACCAAGGGUCAAUAUUGUGACAAGGGUCUAACUGUGCUGCCGGUUGUGGGUCCGGGGGGAAUGGGGAAGACAACUCUGAUACAACACAUAUAUCGCAACCAACAAGUGCAGAAUCAUUUUCCAGUCAUGAUUUGGAUAUGUGUCUCCCUUGAUUUCAAUCUCGAUAAGGUGCUAGAACAGAUUAAAACAUGUACACAUCGAGUUGAAGCGGAAAAAGAGGGUAUUAUAACAGAAAAUGUGAUUGAACAAAGAUUAAAAUAUAAAAGGUUCUUACUUGUAUUGGAUGAUAUAUGGCGGAUUAGUAAUGGGGAUGAUUGGGAAAAACUAUUGUCGACACUCAAUCAAUCACAAGAAAAGGGUUCCAUGAUUCUCGUCACAACUCGGUUUCAAGCAAUAGCACAGAAGGUUAAAACAAUUGGCCACUCAAUAAAGUUGAACGGUUUAGAAUCUGAAGAGUUUAGGAAGUUGUUCCUUGCAUUUGUAUUUGGUGAUGAGCAAUGUCCAAGGGAUAAACAUUUUUUGCUUGAGACUGGAGAUAAGAUAAUGGAAAAACUAAAGGGCUCCCCUCUUGCGGCAAAAACAGUUGGUAGAUUACUGAGUAAAGACCUUCGUUUGCUUCAUUGGAGAAGGGUCCUAAAAAGUAAAGGAUGGGAGAAGCAGACUGAUGACAAUGAAAUUAUGCCUGCCUUGAAGCUUAGCUAUGACUUCCUUCCUUUCCAUCUGCAACAAUGUUUUGCAUAUUCUGCAUUGUUUCCUGAAGAUUGCAAUUUCAGAAGCCACGAUCUCAUCAAUCUGUGGAUCGGACUAGAUAUUUUGAUACCUAGUGGUCAAAACCAAACAUGUGAAGAUAUAGGUUUGAGCAAUUUAAAUGAGUUAGUCAUUCAUGGUUUUUUCAGAGAAGAGGAAACUGAUGGUGUUUUGUUAUAUGUCAUGCAUGACUUACUGCAUGAUUUGGCAUUGAAAGUUGGAUCGAAUGAUUGUCUUAGUUUACGUCUCUCUGAUGUUGGAUCAGCAGAAAUUCAGCCAUCCAUCCGUCACUUGUCUAUAAGCACAGAUGACUUAGGUGAAUAUGAUGCAGUAUCUGGUGAAAAAUUUAAGAGUGAAUUGGAAGAACUGAAGACAAGAUUGAAGGUUGAACAUUUGCAAAGUUUGAUGUUACUAGGAGAAAUGGAUGAAAAUUUCGCCAAGAUAUUUGGUGAUUUUUUGUGUGAAGCAAAUGCUAUUCGUGUUCUUUAUUUGCCCAGCAUGAUGUGUCCCGUGGACUCCAUGUUACAUGACUAUUCAAGACUUGUCCACCUACGAUACCUAUAUCUAGGGACAGAAGACAACAAGAUGCAUUUACCACAGAACAUCUCUAAAUUUUAUCAUUUAAGGAUUCUAGAUCUUGAGUCGUGGGAUGGCAGUUGUGAUUUGCCUGAAGACAUGAGCAACCUUGGCAAAUUGUGCCAUUUUUAUGCCCCAGGUGAUGAUGAGAUUCAUUCUGAUAUUUGUAAUGUGGGAAAACUUAAACUCUUAGAAGAGUUAAAAGUAUUUCGAGUCAGUAAAAAAAGCCAAGGAUUUGAAUCAAAGCAACUAGAGCAUUUGACCAAGCUAAGGGAGCUUGGCAUAUACAACCUUGAGAAGAUACAUACAGUAGAAGAAGCAGCUCAAGCAAAACUGUUGGAGAAAAAAUACUUGAGGAGGUUAACAUUGGACUGGGAUAGUGAGCGGUCUAGUGUUGAGCCUGGUGUGGAAGCGGCGGUUCUUGAGAGCCUUCAACCACAUGGAGAUCUUCAAGUAUUGUGCAUUAGAGGGCACAGAGGCCCUUCUUGUCCAGCAUGGCUGGGUGAUCAGCUUGUUGUUGAAGCUCUGCAAUCUCUUUGGCUUGAUGGUGUUUCUUGGGAGGUUUUCCCUUCUUUAGGGAAGGCGUGGGAUCUUCGUGAACUGAGGUUGGAGAAUAUUGCCGGACUAAAAGAGGUUAUCAUGGAGAAAAGUUUCUGCAUGCUAAUAAAGCUUGAACUCAUUGGGCUAGGAAGUUAUGAAAAAUGGGUUUACCCAGCUGAACAAGAUUCUUCUAUAGGUGGAGACUUGUUGCCACCGGAUGCUCAUAUAUUCCCUCUUUUGCAAGUUCUGAUCAUUAGGAAGUGCCCAAAACUGUUGGGGUUGCCUUUCUCAAACCACAUUGUUUUUCCAGAUUGGUUCCCUAAGCUACAAGAGCUUGAAGUAUGCGACUGUCCAGAAUUUUCGUCAGUGAUUCCCACGUCCUGGAUUGAGAGUCUGCGUCGUGUCAUGAUUGAACGUGUCAAGCUACUGAAGAGGUUUGCGUACUCAAAAUUAUCUGAUGGAGCAGAAUUGAAAAUCAUUGGAUGGGGUGAUUUGCAAAGCUUAGAUCAACUGUUAGUUUUUGAUAAGGAAACAUGUAUGGAGAAGCUGACACUCGAUAGCUGCCCACCUCUGGAGUUGAAGCACCUUCUGAAGUUAACCUCGCUGAAGAAAUUAAUUGUAGAAAAUUCACUUAGUCUGGUUGAACCACUAGGAGGUCAGGGUGAUGUGGAAUGGCAGCUCCCUGUUGAGCAUAUCAAGGUCUAUGGUUUAAAUGGUAAUAGUGGGAAGGAAUUGACAGAGCUACUCCCUCACCUCCCAAGGCUCUCCAUAUUGAAUAUAUGGAAGUGUAAAAACAUAAAAAAGCUGGUAGUGGGGGUGGAUGUGCAACAGACAACAUCAGCAGCAUCAGAUGAAAUAACAAGACCAUCAGAGGAAGAGGAUGAUGGGGUGCUGCUCUUACCAGCUCAGAUCUUUGACUCACUACGGGAAUUAGAUUUCUCUGGCUGCCCAGAGCUGGUCCUGGUGGACCCACCAACUCUUGUUCCCGGAGGAGGUCUCCAAGCCUUGCGAUCCCUCCAGAGUUUAUUAAUAGUGUGGUCCCCAAAGUUUCUAUCCGCCUUCUCGUUUUCCUGUCACAUUUUUCCUUCCUCCCUGCAAUACCUGGAGCUUACUGUGAAAGGCAUGGGGACGCUGGAGCCCCUCGCAAACCUCUCCUCUCUUACCAAAUUAAAUUUGGAAGGUUGCGGACAGGAUCUCAAGUGUCAGGGUUUGCGGUCUCUUCUUACCAACGGAGGCCAGCUCAACAAAUUAAUAGCCCGUGGCAGCCCUAGGUUCUUUGCUGGUUGGGAUCCCAAUCCCAGACGGACUUUGGAGGACGUUAAAGGAGGAGAAGAGCAACCGACGCAGCUUGUUUCAUCCACACUGCAGGAGCUUUGUACAGAUGACAUAAGGGGACUCCUUGCUGCACCGAUCUGCAGCUUCCUUUCUUCCUCCCUCACCAAGCUGGAACUUCGUGGGUAUGGGUCUGAAGGGAUGGAGCGCUUCAGCAAGGAGCAAGAGGACGCCCUUCAGCUCCUCUCCUCCCUCCAGAAACUUCAGUUUAUGCAUUUUGUCGAUCUUCAGCAACUCCCUACAAGGCUGCGCAACCUUACCAGCCUCAAGAUAUUAUCAAUCUACCGCUGUCCAGCCAUCUCGUCAUUGCCCAACGACGGCCUCCCCAAAUCACUGCAAGAGCUAGUUGUUGGAUACAUGUGCAGCGAGGAGCUAAGACAGCAUUGCAGGGGGUUAGAGGGAACCAUCCAAAAAGUCAUAACAUAG